AAUGAACGCUGGCGGCAGGCCUAACACAUGCAAGUCGAGCGAACACACCGGGAGCUUUCGCCUCUGAGGGUGGCGAGUGACGGAUGGGUAACACGUGGAUAGCAUACCUCUUAGACUGGGGGAAUAACGGCGGACCAGAGCUACUACCGCAUCAUAUAUCGAACCGGUUGAUGCACGAGUUAAAGACGGUUUUGCUGUCUGUAAUAGCCGAUUCCGGGCCGAAUUAGCUAGUUGGUAAGGUAACGGCUUAGCAAGGCUACGAUGCGUAGCCGACCUGAGCGGGUGAUCGGCCACACUGGAACUGAGACACGGUCCAGACUCCUACGGGAGGCAGCAGUAGGGAAUCUUACGCAAUGGGCGAAAGCCUGAUCGAGCAACACCGCGUGAGUGAUGAAGGCCUUCGGCUCGUAAAGCGCUGUUGUUCGGAAAGAAAAAAAGCGUAUUAAACUAUGCACGUCCUGACGGUACCUAAAGAAAAAGCCCCGGCUAACUACGUG
This 497-nucleotide ribosomal RNA is filed under the name uncultured bacterium. Its description in RNAcentral is "partial 16S ribosomal RNA". It matches the Rfam family "Bacterial small subunit ribosomal RNA", at positions 29 to 507 of the family's 1533-position model. The record is from RNAcentral.